AAAAUUUCGUUAUUUUUCAGACAAAGUUUCAAACCUAAUCAAAAUGCCGAUCGAGAAGCGAGUACCUCCCAAGAACCCUAAGAAGGAUCUGGUUGCGAAAGAGACUGCUGAGAGAGCUGAGACUAAAGCAAAGGCGGCAGCUGAGCCUACUGAGGAGAAGACUAAGGGUAAGAAGGGAGGAAAGAAGUAGUCUGCAAUAUGGAGGACUACAAGACUACCUGGACAAGAAACAAGGACUACUCAGCUUGAUUUCUUGUCAAAAUAUUCAAUAUUUCCACUUAAUUUAUUAUUGCAUUUAUUAUUGCAUUUGCAAAUGAUAGGUAAAUAAUUUUAACAUUUCCAGAUUAAAUCCCUUUGAUAUAAAAAUGCCAAAGGACAAUAAAUCUGCUGCUCCCAAGAAAGGAGGAGAGAAGGAGGCUAAGGUUGAAGACAAGAAACCAAAGGCGGCAGAUGAACCUACUGAGGAGAAGACUAAGGGUAAGAAGGGAGGAAAGAAGUAGUCUGCAAUAUGGAGGACUACAAGACUACCUGGACAAGAAACAAGGACUACUCAGCUUGAUUUCUUGUCAAAAUAUUUGAAAAUUUCCACUUAAUUUAUUAUUGCAUUUAUUAUUGCAUUUGCAAAUGGUAAAUAAUUUUAACAUUUCCAGAUUAAAUCCCUUUGAUAUAAAAAUGCCAAAGGACAAGAAGUCUGCUGCUCCUAAGAAAGGAGGAGAGAAAGAGGCUGGAAAGGAGGCCAAGGUUGAGGAUAAAAAACCAAAGGAGGCUGCGAAACCCGAAGCUAAGGCUAAGAAAGGAGGAAAGAAGUAAUUGAAAAAAUUCUCAAACCAAAAAUUUAUUGUUCAACGUUUACCAUGCACUUGCCUGAAACGUGGUUAUGUAACUGUUCUAGUCAGCUAUGCACAUUGCACAAUAUGCAUAAUCUCAUUAUUAACGCCAACUCAAUGUAAUCUAUAGAUAUUUAUGUAAAAUAAAUUUGUUUUUAUUGUAAA
This is a long non-coding RNA of Eurytemora carolleeae, 992 nucleotides long. RefSeq lists it as uncharacterized. The record is from RefSeq and is a predicted model, not a curated record. NCBI's taxonomy places the organism in Eukaryota, Metazoa, Arthropoda, Copepoda, Calanoida, Temoridae. The transcript is spliced from 4 exons.